Molecule: ribosomal RNA, 465 nt
Filed under: uncultured bacterium
Lineage: Bacteria
Description: partial 16S ribosomal RNA
Rfam family: Bacterial small subunit ribosomal RNA
Source: RNAcentral
GACGAACGCUGGCGGCGUGCUUAACACAUGCAAGUCGAACGGAAAGGCCCUGCUUGCAGGGUACUCGAGUGGCGAACGGGUGAGUAACACGUGGGUGAUCUGCCCUGCACUUCGGGAUAAGCCUGGGAAACUGGGUCUAAUACCGGAUAGGAGCCAUUUUUAGUGUGAUGGUUGGAAAGUUUUUUCGGUGUGGGAUGAGCUCGCGGCCUAUCAGGUUGUUGGUGGGGGAAUGGCCUACCAAGGCGGCGACGGGUAGCCGGCCUGAGAGGGUGGACGGCCACAUUGGGACUGGGAUACGGCCCAGACUCCCACGGGAGGCCGCAGUGGGGAAGAUUGCCCAAUGGGCGCAAGCCUGAUGCAGCGACGGCGCGGGGGGGAUGACCGCCUUCGGGUUGGAAACUCCUUUCGCUCGGGACGAAGCUUUUUGUGACGGUACCUAGAUAAGAAGCACCGGCUAACUACGUG